UGGUGGGUAGUUUGACUGGGGCGGUCUCCUCCUAAAGAGUAACGGAGGAGCACGAAGGUUGGCUAAUCCUGGUCGGACAUCAGGAGGUUAGUGCAAUGGCAUAAGCCAGCUUGACUGCGAGCGUGACGGCGCGAGCAGGUGCGAAAGCAGGUCAUAGUGAUCCGGUGGUUCUGAAUGGAAGGGCCAUCGCUCAACGGAUAAAAGGUACUCCGGGGAUAACAGGCUGAUACCGCCCAAGAGUUCAUAUCGACGGCGGUGUUUGGCACCUCGAUGUCGGCUCAUCACAUCCUGGGGCUGAAGUAGGUCCCAAGGGUAUGGCUGUUCGCCAUUUAAAGUGGUACGCGAGCUGGGUUUAGAACGUCGUGAGACAGUUCGGUCCCUAUCUGCCGUGGGCGCUGGAGAACUGAGGGGGGCUGCUCCUAGUACGAGAGGACCGGAGUGGACGCAUCACUGGUGUUCGGGUUGUCAUGCCAAUGGCACUGCCCGGUAGCUAAAUGCGGAAGAGAUAAGUGCUGAAAGCAUCUAAGCACGAAACUUGCCCCGAGAUGAGUUCUCCCUGAGACUACGAGUCUCCUGAAGGAACGUUGAAGACGACGACGUUGAUAGGCCGGGUGUGUAAGCGCAGCGAUGCGUUGAGCUAACCGGUACUAAUGAACCGUGAGGCUUAACCUUACAACGCCGAAG
This 684-nucleotide ribosomal RNA is filed under the name Salmonella enterica subsp. enterica serovar Choleraesuis. RNAcentral's name for it is "partial 23S ribosomal RNA". It matches the Rfam family "Bacterial large subunit ribosomal RNA", at positions 2259 to 2925 of the family's 2925-position model. The record is from RNAcentral. Lineage: Bacteria; Pseudomonadati; Pseudomonadota; Gammaproteobacteria; Enterobacterales; Enterobacteriaceae.